This 433-nucleotide ribosomal RNA is filed under the name uncultured bacterium. Its description in RNAcentral is "partial 16S ribosomal RNA". It matches the Rfam family "Bacterial small subunit ribosomal RNA", at positions 29 to 507 of the family's 1533-position model. The record is from RNAcentral.
AACGAACGCUGGCGGCAUGCCUAACACAUGCAAGUCGAACGAGACCUUCGGGUCUAGUGGCGCACGGGUGCGUAACGCGUGGGAACCUGCCCUUAGGUUCGGAAUAACUCCCCGAAAGGGGUGCUAAUACCGGAUAAUGUCUUCGGACCAAAGAUUUAUCGCCUUUGGAUGGGCCCGCGUUGGAUUAGCUAGUUGGUAGGGUAAAAGCCUACCAAGGCGACGAUCCAUAGCUGGUCUGAGAGGAUGAUCAGCCACACUGGGACUGAGACACGGCCCAGACUCCUACGGGAGGCAGCAGUGGGGAAUAUCGGACAAUGGGCGAAAGCCUGAUCCAGCAAUGCCGCGUGAGUGAUGAAGGCCUUAGGGUUGUAAAGCUCUUUUAACCGGGAUGAUAAUGACAGUACCGGGAGAAUAAGCUCCGGCUAACUCCGUG